UCCAGAAAGAAGAGUAUGAAGCCAGUUGUCACAGUUUGCCUAGCGCUAAACGAAAAAAAGUUAACCAUAAAUCGAUCGUUUUUUCAUGGUAUAAGCGUAUAAAUGUCUAAAAAUCAAAUUAUAUAGAGUUUCUGAGCUGUCGAAAAAAAUCAUCGCAAUAUGGAAAACGGAUUGGAACCAUUUUGCUAUUGCCCUGAACGUGCAAACGUGGAAUUAUCGCAGUUUUUCGAAAUUGUUACUGAAUUUGUACCUAUAUGUCCCAAUUCACGCCAGAACCAUGUGGACUAUUGAGUUUUCCUGAUGAAAUGGAAUCGCCAGGACAUAACAUACCAAGAAAUCGCCAGGACAUAACCAAGCAUCUAGCUGCAGUUUUUCGUAUUCCAAUUCAAUCUGCUGUAAAGGAACUGUUACCACAGUGGCCUACGACUGAAGAAACGUGGACUUAGGACAGGAAAAAAAUCUGUAUUUUGAAGAAAGGCGCAACAUCCUGAAUUCGGUAAUAUUAUUUGAAUGCUUUAUAUACCUUUAUAAAAUAUCUAUUUUUAUGUAUACCUUUUUUGCAUUUUCGGGCAUUUUAUCGUCUAUCGGAUAAUAAUUAUCGAAAGACGAUCCUUUAACACGUUGAGUUCCACGGUUUUACAGCGACUCUGGAAAUUUUUAAAUGUAUUAUGACCAUCGUUUCUUAUUGUAGUUUAAGGUAUUUUUGUUCAAAAGGGAAUGGUUAUAAGCUUAUAUUAGUUACCUUUAUUAUCGUAUGCUAUACUGUCAGUCACUUGUGAUUGACGCAGCCUGAACGAAAAUUCGGAGUCAGUCACCGGUGACUGACGUGGCAGACAACGUGUUGAUCAACGAUACUUAACGAACAGGAAUACGGUUACUCAGGAUUAGAACGAUGUUAAAUGACGUCACUAUGAAAACUUUUUCUGUUGAUGGACCACAAUUCGACCGUCGUUUUUUAAAAAGUAUGUGGUACUGUAUAAUUCGAAAAAUUAUAAAGUUCUGUUGUCGGGUACAGUGAAAUAAGGUAAUACUUUUACCCACCGGAAAAUACUUUUAGCUACUUUUAGCUUUUAGCCACUGGAAAAAAUAUUUACGAUUAGUUAAGUAACCGGUGUUAUGAAGAGAAAUAAACGUAACAUGCCCAAUCGAUUCGAACACUGCCGUCGCGUUAUUCGGAAAAAUUAAAUAAAAGAGGAAUUCAACCGGUUCCUUUUGAGGCAACCCAUGACGAAACCGGUACUUUCGUAUUACCGUCACCGGAACCGAAAUACAAUAGAUAGCAAUUACCUAACCGGGUCGCUAACGCUCGGUCGGACCUAACUAAAGGAUCGUCUCCUAUGUAUCAAACUAACCGGGCAAUCGAUGGAACACAGGUUUGUUUGCGAAAGGCCGCCGCUUCCGACGGCGGGUCGGCUAAUACGCUAAUACGAAAGUACCACGAAACCUCUUCGGUCGCGUAAUAAAUAAAUAUCGAUUCAAAUAUAAGAGGAAUUCCUCCGGUUCCUUUCGAGGUAACCCAUGACGAAACCUCUUCGGUCGCGUUAUAAUGAUUUAUCGUUUAAUAUAUAAGAGGGAUUCCUCCG
Molecule: long non-coding RNA, 1583 nt
Organism: Toxorhynchites rutilus septentrionalis
Lineage: Eukaryota; Metazoa; Arthropoda; Insecta; Diptera; Culicidae
Exons: 3
Source: RefSeq, a predicted model, not a curated record